ACAACUACCUCACAUGAAAAUGUGGUAUUGGCUGAAGUGGAUAGUACUUGCAGUGCAGGUCUCACUUAUCUGAAAUCAAUGGGCCGGAGAAGUGGACCACAGCGACAGACUUUCAGAGUGUUUUGAAACGCAAAACUAGUCUCUAGCAGGUUGAAAUCCAAGCCGAUUAGACCCCCAUUUUAGUCCAAAUAAGAGA
RNAcentral lists this unclassified non-coding RNA (196 nucleotides) under uncultured Tuber. Its description in RNAcentral is "sequence contains ITS2". The record is from RNAcentral. Lineage: Eukaryota; Fungi; Ascomycota; Pezizomycetes; Pezizales; Tuberaceae.